This is a long non-coding RNA of Bradysia coprophila, 113 nucleotides long. The record is from RefSeq and is a predicted model, not a curated record. Lineage: Eukaryota; Metazoa; Arthropoda; Insecta; Diptera; Sciaridae.
UUGUUAGGAUUCGACGCCAUAUCGACGAAAGGUGCUAACGCAUCACAAUUUAGGUAUACCCAAACGUCCUGGAUAAGGACGCAACGUUUGAACUACACAGGAUCUUCAAUCAA